AGUGAACGCUGGCGGCGUGCUUAACACAUGCAAGUCGAACGAGAACGGAAUAUAGCUUGCUAUAUUUGUCAGCUAAGUGGCGCACGGGUGAGUAAUGUAUAGAUAACCUGCCCUUAAGAAAGGAAUAACAGUUGGAAACGACUGCUAAUGCCCUAUAUGCCUUUAAUACAUAAGUAUGCAAGGGAAACGCUUUAGUGCUUAAGGAUGGGUCUGUAUGGUAUCAGCUUGUUGGUGAGGUAAUGGCUCACCAAGGCUAUGACGCCUAACUGGUUUGAGAGGAUGAUCAGUCACACUGGAACUGAGACACGGUCCAGACUCCUACGGGAGGCAGCAGUGGGGAAUAUUGCACAAUGGACGAAAGUCUGAUGCAGCAGCGCCGCGUGGAGGAUGACACAUUUCGGUGCGUAAACUCCUUUUAUAUAGGAAGAUAAUGACGGUACUAUAUGAACAAGCACCGGCUAACUCCGUGCCAGCAGCCGCCGUAA
RNAcentral lists this ribosomal RNA (485 nucleotides) under uncultured bacterium. RNAcentral describes it as "partial 16S ribosomal RNA". It matches the Rfam family "Bacterial small subunit ribosomal RNA", at positions 29 to 523 of the family's 1533-position model. The record is from RNAcentral.